MicroRNA precursor from Astatotilapia calliptera (eastern happy), 61 nucleotides. The record is from Ensembl. NCBI's taxonomy places the organism in Eukaryota, Metazoa, Chordata, Actinopteri, Cichliformes, Cichlidae.
UAGCAGCGCAUCAUGGUUUGAAACAAUGUGGAAAAGGUGCGAACCAUAAUUUGCUGCUUUA